ACUAACAAGGAUUCCCCUAGUAACUGCGAGUGAAGCGGGAAAAGCUCAAAUUUAAAAUCUGGCGGUCUUUGGCCGUCCGAGUUGUAAUCUAGAGAAGUGUUAUCCGCGCUGGACCGUGUACAAGUCUCCUGGAAUGGAGCGUCAUAGAGGGUGAGAAUCCCGUCUUUGACACGGACUGCCAGGGCUUUGUGAUACGCUCUCAAAGAGUCGAGUUGUUUGGGAAUGCAGCUCAAAAUGGGUGGUAAAUUCCAUCUAAAGCUAAAUAUUGGCGAGAGACCGAUAGCGAACAAGUACCGUGAGGGAAAGAUGAAAAGAACUUUGGAAAGAGAGUUAAACAGUACGUGAAAUUGCUGAAAGGGAAACGCUUGAAGUCAGUCACGUUUUCUGGGAAUCAACCUUGCUUUUGCUGGGCGUACUUUCCAGAUGACGGGUCAGCAUCAAUUUUGACCGUUGGAUAAAGUCUGGAGGAAUGUGGCAUCUUCGGAUGUGUUAUAGCCUCUAGUUGCAUACAACGGUUGGGAUUGAGGAACUCAGCACGCCGCAAGGCCGGGUACUUGUACCACGUUCGUGCUUAGGAUGCUGGCAUAAUGGCUUUAAUCGACCCGUCUUGAAACACGGACCAAGGAGUCUAACAUGCAUGCGAGUAUUUGGGUGGAAAACCCGAGUGCGUAAUGAAAGUGAAAGUUGAGAUCCUUGUCAUGGGGAGCAUCGACGCCCGGACCAGACCUUUUGUGACGGAUCUGCGGUAGAGCAUGUAUGUUGGGACCCGAAAGAUGGUGAACUAUGCCUGAAUAGGGUGAAGCCAGAGGAAACUCUGGUGGAGGCUCGUAGCGAUUCUGACGUGCAAAUCGAUCGUCAAAUUUGGGUAUAGGGGCGAAAGACUAAUCGAACCAUC
Molecule: ribosomal RNA, 895 nt
Filed under: Pholiota sp.
Lineage: Eukaryota; Fungi; Basidiomycota; Agaricomycetes; Agaricales; Strophariaceae
Description: partial large subunit ribosomal RNA
Rfam family: Eukaryotic large subunit ribosomal RNA
Source: RNAcentral